UUUACGGUACCCGUAAACAUACACUUGUGGUGCUCAAAAACUUUUUUUUGUAGUUUUGAGCACCACAAGUUUGUGUUUACGGGUACCGUAAAU
This 93-nucleotide microRNA precursor is filed under the name Helianthus annuus (common sunflower). RNAcentral's name for it is "sRNA HanXRQr2_Chr06g0257281". The record is from RNAcentral. Lineage: Eukaryota; Viridiplantae; Streptophyta; Magnoliopsida; Asterales; Asteraceae.